GGGAUUGUAGCUCAGUGGUGGAGUGCUUGCCUUGCAUGUGUGGGACACUGAGUUAGAUUCUCAGCAUCACA
Molecule: transfer RNA, 71 nt
Filed under: Marmota monax (woodchuck)
Lineage: Eukaryota; Metazoa; Chordata; Mammalia; Rodentia; Sciuridae
Description: tRNA.Ala
Rfam family: tRNA (bases 6-66)
About the family: Transfer RNA (tRNA) molecules are approximately 80 nucleotides in length. Their secondary structure includes four short double-helical elements and three loops (D, anti-codon, and T loops). Further hydrogen bonds mediate the characteristic L-shaped molecular structure. tRNAs have two regions of fundamental functional importance: the anti-codon, which is responsible for specific mRNA codon recognition, and the 3' end, to which the tRNAs corresponding amino acid is attached (by aminoacyl-tRNA synthetases). tRNAs cope with the degeneracy of the genetic code in two manners: having more than one tRNA (with a specific anti-codon) for a particular amino acid; and 'wobble' base-pairing, i.e. permitting non-standard base-pairing at the 3rd anti-codon position.
Source: RNAcentral